UCCGGCUUAGCACCGGCAGUCCACCCAGAGCCCCCGCCAUGACGCGCUGGCAACUGGGUGCGGGGGUUGCGCUCGUUGCGGGACUUAACCCAACAUCUCACGACACGAGCUGACGACAGCCAUGCAGCACCUGUGCACGGGCUCCGAAGAGGGGCUCUGGUUUCUCAAAGCUUUCCCGUGUAUGUCAAGCCUAGGUAAGGUUCUUCGCGUUGCGUCGAAUUAAACCACAUGCUCCACCGCUUGUGCGGGCCCCCGUCAAUUCCUUUGAGUUUCAGCCUUGCGGCCGUACUCCCCAGGCGGGGCACUUAAUGCGUUAGCGUCGGCACUCAGGGGGUCGCUCCCCCAAGCACCUAGUGCCCAUCGUUUACGGCGUGGACUAC
RNAcentral lists this unclassified non-coding RNA (380 nucleotides) under uncultured Gemmatimonadaceae bacterium. RNAcentral describes it as "contains 16S-23S intergenic spacer region". Lineage: Bacteria; Pseudomonadati; Gemmatimonadota; Gemmatimonadia; Gemmatimonadales; Gemmatimonadaceae. The record is from RNAcentral.